Molecule: non-coding RNA, 27 nt
Filed under: Homo sapiens (human)
Lineage: Eukaryota; Metazoa; Chordata; Mammalia; Primates; Hominidae
Source: RNAcentral
UAAUGGAAAUGGGAAAAUGCCGAGACC